GUGCAUGCCCUUAGCAUGAAGUCAGACAAGAGAACCCGCUGAACUUAAGCAUAUGGAUCCC
RNAcentral lists this ribosomal RNA (61 nucleotides) under Symbiodinium muscatinei (nom. inval.). RNAcentral describes it as "Symbiodinium muscatinei partial 28S ribosomal RNA". Lineage: Eukaryota; Dinophyceae; Suessiales; Symbiodiniaceae. The record is from RNAcentral.